RNAcentral lists this ribosomal RNA (492 nucleotides) under uncultured bacterium. RNAcentral's name for it is "bacterial SSU rRNA". It matches the Rfam family "Bacterial small subunit ribosomal RNA", at positions 903 to 1397 of the family's 1533-position model. The record is from RNAcentral.
AAAGGAAUUGACGGGGACCCGCACAAGCAGCGGAGCAUGUGGUUUAAUUCGAAGCAACGCGAAAAACCUUACCAAGACUUGACAUCGUAUGAUCGUCAUAGAAAUAUGAUUUUCUCUUCGGAGACAUAUAGACAGAUGGUGCAUGGUUGUCGUCAGCUCGUGUCGUGAGAUGUUGGGUUAAGUCCCAAAACGAGCGCAACCCUUAUCAGUAAUUGCCAAUAUUAAGUUAGGAACCAUGCUGAGACUGCCGCCGUAAGGUGGAGGAAGGAAGGGACGACGUCAAAUCAUCAUGCCUCUUACGUCUUGGGCUACACACGUGCUACAAUGGCCAUUACAAAGAGCAGCAACAUGGUAACAUCAAGCAAAUCUCAUAAAAAUGGUCUCAGUUCGGAUUGUGGGCUGAAACUCGCCCACAUGAAGCAGGAGUUGCUAGUAAUCCCGAAUCAGAAUGUCGGGGUGAAUGCGUUCCCGGGUCUUGUACACACCGCCCGU